UUUGCCCAUGCUCCCCUAUUUAUUUGCUUAUUUAAUAUCAGUAUGGACUCACAUAUAUUUAUUUUAUACUUUCAAUCUGUUUUUUCACGGUGACUGUAAAUUCAUGUAUUUUUUUUUUAAUGCAGAAAACAUACAAACAACUGUGCUGUGUGAGAAACAAAUUCUAUGAUGGCAAGAUUCUCCCUCCACAGCUCUUCAUGACUGCCUUUGCGUAGGGUCAUCUUUGGCUUAUUGCUAUUCACCUGGCAACCUCACACAAGCUGUUUCAACUCUGCAGGCCUCAGUUUCCCCAUCUGAAUGAGAGAGUCUUCAUGGAGUGGUCUCAGAGGGGAAGAGGGGAUGAUGUUUGUAUGUUUAUAGGUAUACAGCUGUUCUGUUGCCUAUUUACAGAACUAAAGUCCUUAAGGGCAAGGGGUAUCUUCUCUUAUUUAUGUUGGAAAAUGAACCCAGAGCUAAUAGCCCUUGAGAACAUCACCUAAACGUAAUCUUUAUAUCCCCUCCCACAACCCCAGAUGGUUCUCCUGCCCUGCUGUGCUGCCUCUCUGCAUGGGAUUUGGUUCUGCUUUUCUCGAGUGUCUGACACCCACCCCAAGGCCCGGCAUUCAAGGCCUUGUCCUCCUUGGCCUCAUUUUUGUGCCUCUCAUCUACCUGUACUACGGCCACACAGACAUCCUUGUCACCCCCAUGAAUUUCAGUGCUUACGGUAUCGCCCUCCUCUGUGCCAGGCCCUGGGCUGGGCGCCAGGCCACAGAGAUGAACCAGAGAGGGGCUCUGAGUCAGAGCUCACAGUCCAAUGUGGGCGCCAAGUCCUCGAUCCAUAGCAAUCUGACAUACAGAGGGAUGAGUGGAGCACUGUGGGAGCACAGUGGAGGGAGGGCCUGGCCUGGAGAGAAUCAGAAAGGCUUGGCAAAGAUGCUAACUUCUGAGCUGGGCUUUGACAGGUGUAUGGGAGUUUACGGGGUAGUGAAUGGGAGAAGGCGUAUUCCAGGCACAAAGAAAGGUAUGUGUGUGUGAACCAGAGAAAUGGCAGAGACCAGGGAACAAUCAUAAGUGUCAUGUGUCUGGAGCCAAAGUUCAGGAAGAAAGAAGGGCCCGAAGUGAGACAGGAGAGUGAGGUGGGGACCUCUGUGAGGAGCCUCAAUUCUGGGCUGGCAGUUUCUACUUGCGGAAUUUCAAAGGUGUUUUUCUUUUGUUUUUUUUGUUUUUGUGAGGAAGAUUGGUCCUGAGCUAACAUCUGUUGCCAAUCUCUUCCUCUUCUUGCUUGAGGAAGAUUGUUGCUGAGCUAACAUCUGUGCCAGUCUUCCUCUAUUUUACGUGGGAUGCUAUCACAGUGUGGCUUGACAAGUGGUGCUAGGUCUGUGCCCAGAAUCCGAACCCGCGAACCCCGGGGUGCUGAAGCAGAGUGUAGGAACUUAACUACUGUGCCACCAGACCGGCCCCUAAAGGUUUCAAGCACAGAGUCUGCACAGAGCGGGAACUCAGCGCCCGGCACUGGAGGAGUGGAUUAGAAGGCAGGCCGCUCUCCACAUUGACCUGCAGAGUGACCUCUCUGACCCCUAGGAUCCAACCUUACCACAGCAGGCAGAAAGCCUUUUACUGGCUCCCAGUGUCCCGGAUGAAGCCCACACGCCGUAAAUGAUGAUGAAGAUGAAGGUGGUAGCUACCACAUACCUCUCUCACAACCCCCACAACAGUCCUGCAAGGCAGGCGAGGAUCACUGUCCUCAUUUGUCAAAUGAAAAUCUGAUGGCUCAGAGAGGUUCAGUGACUCACCCGAGGUUACUCAGCCAGCGAGCUGCAGACACAGGCACCAAGCCCAGGGCUGUGGGCUGAUUGUUUGAUGGGCAUUCGAGGCCUGUCAGCCUCCCUCGCCAGAGAAGUUGCCAGGCUCAUCCAGGUGCCCAGGCAUCAGCCUCGUCUGACUCAGCAAGGAGCAAGUCGGAGGCGGCUGCUUGCCCGUCAGACUGCUGUUUUCUGCCUGAGAAGCAUCACUUGCUGUAGCCUCUUUCUCUUCUGCUCCCCAAGGAUCAUUCCGCAUCUGGGGGGAGUCAUUUUCCACAGAGUCAAGAGUUCUGAAAACUCGCUUUAUUGUUGUACACUGAAAACGGAUACCAUGUUAUAUGUGAGUUAUAUCUCAAUUAAAAGUCAGGUUAUAUUAGUGUACACAGCAACAGUAGAAGCUAACAUUUAUGCGGCAUUGAACGUCAAGACCGUGCUAAGUGCUUCACAUGCAUUGUCUCACUUUGUAAGGUCCAUUAAUUUAUUUAUUUGAAUAAGGACCCUCUACACGUGAUUAAAAGAAAGAGAGAGAUGGAUUACAAAAAGGCAUUUGGUGAAAAGUCAGUCUCUUUCCUCCUCUGCACUCCUGUCUCCCACGUCCCCUCCCAGAGACCAGUGUGACCAGCUCCUCGGGUGUCCUGCAGAGUCCCGAGUUACUACUAUCUCAUUUAAUCCUCUCAUCAGCCCUUUGAAGUAGGUAUUAUUAUCCUUGUAUUACAUAUCAGGACACUGAGGUUCAGAGACAGGAAGCCACAUACUCAAGGUCACACAGCUUCCACUUACUCAAGUGGCUGAGCUGGGGUUUCUCCCCAGAUGGACUGCCUCUCACCCUGUAGGCCUCCCUGCCUCCCACAAGGAGGUGAAAACCAGAAAGUUGAGCUGAGAAGCGUGUGCUGGGCAAUCGGCUGGACACCCUCGUUGACAGGCUUUUGCUCCACAUACCAAUCUUGCAGCAAAGAAUUCAAACUUGGACCUCAGUAAAAUGACAAAUUCUGACCCGUCAUAGGCCUUCGAGGUUAUUGACCCAUAGUCAAGACCUCAGAUUUUCCAACCCUGAAUAGUCUUCCGUUCCUGCUGUUUCCUGCCUUCUUGCUCCUUUGCGCCCUUGGUUUGCCCUUCAGUGACGUCGGCUCCGACCAGCUGCUCAGUGUGACUAAGGGUUCGCGGGGCAGGAUAGGAGGCGCACAGCCAUGCAGCUCUAAAACCUGGGUUCUGCCUCAGCUCCGCCCCGCUGGCCCGCCUGGCUGGGCGGGUCCUGUCACUUCUCUGCCUCCAUGUCUUCACUCGCAAGAUAGGAAGAAUUACAUCUAACUUAAAAGGUUUGAGGAUCCUCAAGUGAGGUGAUAGGCCAGUGGCAAGUAGCAAAGCCUCAUGCAAAUAUCGUUAUGUUUAGUAACAAUAAAAGUUGGAGUAAAUCUGGUCGCUCUACGGUGAAAAAGAGCUGGCUAAAUUCGCAGCUACUGUGUUCCCUUCUUUCCAUCCCCCCCACCAACCUGGUUUUGUAAAAUCUUCUACACUUUACAAAUGCCUUUUUGUCUAUUGUCUUAUGAAUUCUUGCCCAAGGCCUGGGAGGCAGAACCGGGGCAGGAAUUAUCACCCCAAAUGUUCCCAGAGGGGAAGUGCCUUGCCG
RNAcentral lists this long non-coding RNA (3408 nucleotides) under Equus caballus (horse). Its description in RNAcentral is "lncRNA (ENSECAG00000045591.1)". Lineage: Eukaryota; Metazoa; Chordata; Mammalia; Perissodactyla; Equidae. The record is from RNAcentral.